GACGAACGCUGGCGGCGUGCUUAACACAUGCAAGUCGAACGGUGAAGCGCCUUCCUUUUUGGUGGGUGUGGAUGAGUGGCGAACGGGUGAGUAACACGUGAGUAACCUGCCCCCUUCUUCUGGAUAACCGCAUGAAAGUGUGGCUAAUACGGGAUAUUCUGGGUCUGUCGCAUGAUGGGUCUGGGAAAGAUAUUGUUUCGGUGGGGGAUGGGCUCGCGGCCUAUCAGCUUGUUGGUGGGGUGAUGGCCUACCAAGGCGGUGACGGGUAGCCGGCCUGAGAGGGUGGACGGUCACACUGGGACUGCGACACGGCUCAGACUCCUACGGGAGGCAGCAGUGGGGAAUAUUGCACAAUGGGCGCAAGCCUGAUGCAGCGACGCCGCGUGAGGGAUGGAGGCCUUCGGGUUGUGAACCUCUUUCGCCAGUGAAGCAGGCCUGCCUCGUUUGUGGGUGGGUUGACGGUAGCUGGAGAAGAAGCGCCGGCUAACUACGUG
RNAcentral lists this ribosomal RNA (494 nucleotides) under uncultured bacterium. RNAcentral's name for it is "partial 16S ribosomal RNA". It matches the Rfam family "Bacterial small subunit ribosomal RNA", at positions 28 to 507 of the family's 1533-position model. The record is from RNAcentral.